GACGAACGCUGGCGGCGUGCCUAAUACAUGCAAGUAGAACGCUGAAGAGAGGAGCUUGCUCUUCUUGGAUGAGUUGCGAACGGGUGAGUAACGCGUAGGUAACCUGCCUUGUAGCGGGGGAUAACUAUUGGAAACGAUAGCUAAUACCGCAUAACAAUGGAUGACACAUGUCAUUUAUUUGAAAGGGGCAAUUGCUCCACUACAAGAUGGACCUGCGUUGUAUUAGCUAGUAGGUGAGGUAAUGGCUCACCUAGGCGACGAUACAUAGCCGACCUGAGAGGGUGAUCGGCCACACUGGGACUGAGACACGGCCCAGACUCCUACGGGAGGCAGCAGUAGGGAAUCUUCGGCAAUGGGGGCAACCCUGACCGAGCAACGCCGCGUGAGUGAAGAAGGUUUUCGGAUCGUAAAGCUCUGUUGUAAGUCAAGAACGGGUGUGAGAGUGGAAAGUUCACACUGUGACGGUAGCUUACCAGAAAGGGACGGCUAACUACGUGCCAGCAGCCGCGGUAAUACGUAGGUCCCGAGCNGUGUCCCGGAUUUAUGGGCGUAAAGCGAGCGCAAGGCGGUUUGAUAAGUCUGAAGUUAAGGCUGUGGCUCAACCAUAGUUCGCUUUGGAAACUGUCAAACUUGAGUGCAGAAGGGGAGAGUGGAAUUCCAUGUGUAGCGGUGAAAUGCGUAGAUAUAUGGAGGAACACCGGUGGCGAAAGCGGCUCUCUGGUCUGUAACUGACGCUGAGGCUCGAAAGCGUGGGGAGCGAGCAGGAUUAGAUACCCUGGUAGUCCACGCCGUAAACGAUGAGUGCUAGGUGUUGGAUCCUUUCCGGGAUUCAGUGCCGCAGCUAACGCAUUAAGCACUCCGCCUGGGGAGUACGACCGCAAGGUUGAAACUCAAAGGAAUUGACGGGGGCCCGCACAAGCGGUGGAGCAUGUGGUUUAAUUCGAAGCAACGCGAAGAACCUUACCAGGUCUUGACAUCCCGAUGCUAUUUCUAGAGAUAGAAAGUUACUUCGGUACAUCGGUGACAGGUGGUGCAUGGUUGUCGUCAGCUCGUGUCGUGAGAUGUUGGGUUAAGUCCCGCAACGAGCGCAACCCCUAUUGUUAGUUGCCAUCAUUCAGUUGGGCACUCUAGCGAGACUGCCGGUAAUAAACCGGAGGAAGGUGGGGAUGACGUCAAAUCAUCAUGCCCCUUAUGACCUGGGCUACACACGUGCUACAAUGGUUGGUACAACGAGUUGCGAGUCGGUGACGGCGAGCUAAUCUCUUAAAGCCAAUCUCAGUUCGGAUUGUAGGCUGCAACUCGCCUACAUGAAGUCGGAAUCGCUAGUAAUCGCGGAUCAGCACGCCGCGGUGAAUACGUUCCCGGGCCU
Molecule: ribosomal RNA, 1369 nt
Filed under: uncultured bacterium
Lineage: Bacteria
Description: bacterial SSU rRNA
Rfam family: Bacterial small subunit ribosomal RNA
Source: RNAcentral